This 445-nucleotide ribosomal RNA is filed under the name uncultured bacterium. Its description in RNAcentral is "partial 16S ribosomal RNA". It matches the Rfam family "Bacterial small subunit ribosomal RNA", at positions 354 to 796 of the family's 1533-position model. The record is from RNAcentral.
GUGAGGAAUAUUGGUCAAUGGGCGAGAGCCUGAACCAGCCAAGUCGCGUGAAGGAAGAAGGAUCUAUGGAUCGUAAACUUCUUUUGCAGGGGAAUAAAGUGCGGGACGUGUCCUGUUUUGUAUGUACCCUGAGAAUAAGGAUCGGCUAACUCCGUGCCAGCAGCCGCGGUAAUACGGAGGAUCCGAGCGUUAUCCGGAUUUAUUGGGUUUAAAGGGUGCGUAGGUGGUUUGAUAAGUCAGCGGUGAAAGUUUGCAGCUUAACUGUAAAAAUGCCGUUGAAACUGUCGGACUUGAGUGUAAAUGAGGUAGGCGGAAUGCGUGGUGUAGCGGUGAAAUGCAUAGAUAUCACGCAGAACUCCGAUUGCGAAGGCAGCUUACUAAGCUACAACUGACACUGAAGCACGAAAGCGUGGGGAUCAAACAGGAUUAGAUACCCGUGUAGUCC